GAGCUUUUGAGGUGGGUCCUGAGACACUGCGUUUUGAACAAGAUCCCCUAUAGAAGCUAGCACAUCAAUAUGUGUGAGAUCCACUGGCCCAGUGUACACCAACUGCAGGUGAGUUUCAAAUAGGAUGUAAAUUAACAAGAUACUCAACUGUAAAUUAUAUUCCAAUUUGAUAUAUUAAAAUAUCAAAGAAUAAAUAUCCCUCCCCCUUUCCCUUAGCCCUAUCCAGAGCUAUUCUCAGCUGGAUCUCAAAAAAAAAAAAAAAAAAAAAAAAAAAAAAACAACCUCAAAUUGAUCCCCCAUAGCUGAGAGAGUGAUAAAAUAUAGCCCUGGCAGGUAUAGAAGCCAGUGUGCUCUAAAUCUUCACAAAUUCCUCUUGCAAGUACAAAGGUAUAACUUAUCAAAAAAUGCCUUGAAAAUCAACAUCAACCCCAUGAGCUCUAAAAAGAGCCCGUGUUCCUCAAGGCCAAGAGCAGUGGUGGAAUUGGCAAAGUAAGUCACAGUUCUAGCAUCCUCUUAGCAUUAUCUCCUGCUCCACAGAGCAGGCAUGAAAUGAAAGCCUUUCCUUGAGGAAAAUAUUAUCUCAUCAGUUCCAAGCCAAAAGCUACAGCUAAAAUACCUCAUUCCUUCUGCUCAGUUUCACAUGUGUUUUAACACCUGCAUGAUGCGAUUCUCUUUCACUCCCAGGGUCCAUGUUAACCAGUGAUGUGUUUUUGAUUUUUGUUUUGCAGUAAGUUAGGAGUAAAGAUCAAUGUAUCCUAUGAAUUUGUUUUCAACCUCCAAAAUCAGGAAUGAAGUUUUAUUUUUCUUGCUUCGGUUUUGAGCAGGGUACCAAAAAAAAAUCCUUCUUUCUCACUGAUUUUUCCUAUCAUGCUGAUUUGUACAAAAAUGGCAAGGGAUUCAGAAUGGGGCUAGUACAAUCACCUGGAUCAUAUUGUUCUUGCAUUCUUCAUGUACCAUAUAUAUUCCAUGUGCUUUGAUGAAGAAGUUUUGUAUUAGGGCAUGUUAGUUGUACAGGACAGUGGGCUUCAUUGAGGCAUGUGCAUAUAUACCUAUAAUGUAUCUUGAUAAUUGGCAAGCCCCAUUGACCCUCCUCACCCUUCCCUCACCCCUCCUUGAGCACAUGUUUUUACCUACAAAGCACAGGCCAACAGACAUAUACUCUCAUAUGCUUUAGUCUAUGCAUAAACUGAAUAGAUCAUUGUAGGGAAGCAAUCUCCAUAGCUGGACUUACUGACACUUGGUUCUGCAAAAUACAAGUUUAAACACUAAUUGCAUUUAGUAUUAGCCUGAUUCUCACUACUUUAUUAUUUUCCCAGGAAGAGGGUCAAAAUGCAGAAACUUGUUUUUGAUUUUGUUUUGUUUGUAAUAGAUGGGUCUAUAACAUGGCAGAAACUCCAAAAUGGAAACAGGUAACCCCCUUCUCCUUAGGCAUGUGGUAUAUCCUAAACCCUGUACAAUGUGCUUGAUGAAGCAAGGCAAAAGAAGCACGUGAACUUAGAAAAGGAAUAUGUUUCUCAAGAUCACGAAGCUAGUAAGCAAAGGAGUUGGAUCUCCUAUUCAUGGUUCAUUGGCUUACUGAUACCCCCAGUGCCCACAACUCACUGUAUGCAUCACAGUCCUUCACCCUGGGAUGCAGUAGUAGAUUGAAUAGGCACAGUCAGUGCCUUAUAAAACUUUCAUUCUAAGGAAGUGAUACACACACACAUAGAGAAAUACAUAAGUAUGGACUAUAAGUGCCAUGGAGAACAAUAAAACAAGAUAAGGACUAGAAAUUAAUAAGGUGACAUGUAAACUUAGAUAGGGGUCAGAGGAGGCAUUUAUAAGGACACAAUAUGGGAACAAAGGAGACUGAGUGAUGGGAAGAAAUGAACCACAAGAGAAUUUGAAAGACAUGUGAAUCUUAAUAUGACCACCAGUCCCUCCAUGAUUGCUUCCUUGUCCUCCCUUAUAAUCUCAUGUUUCCUAUUAUACCCUGUAUGCUAAGCAUUCCUGUGUUUUACAUUGUCACCUAGUGGGCUAUUUACCAUCUUAAUUAACAAUUUUCACCCAACUCAUCCCUUCUUUCUGCUUUUAGGAUUCCCUCUACAAAGGCUCUGUCUGGCUGUUUUCUACUCCCCAGUCACUGAGCUUGUGUCCUGCUAGCACAAUCGUCUCAGGGUACCAUUUUUCUGUUCUCUGUAUUUCAUGUUAAAUGUAAGACCUAUGGAAGAAUAUAUAGCCAGAAAGAGUUGAAAAUAGAAACUCAGUUAAAUGCAUCCAUACCAAGGAUCAAAAUAGGAUUUUGCAAAAUAGCCCAAAGAUGAGUGGGUAAACAAAUGCACUACCUACAUACAAAUGCAAUAUUAUUUAAUCAUGAAAAGAAAUGAAAUUCUAAUACAUGCUACAGCACAGAAAAAUCUUGAAAACAUUAUAAUUGAAGUAAACCAGUUCAGAAAGAACAAAGAUCAUGUGGAUAUCACUUAUAUGAAGUAAAUUCAGAGAGACAGAAAAUACCAUAGAGCUUCCUGGGGAGAAGAAAGAGAAAUUUUUGUUAAAUGAGUACGGAGUUUACACUUGGUAGGGUGAAAACUUUCUGGAAGUAGGUUGUAGUGAUGGCUAUGCAACAUUGUGAAAGUACUUAAUUCCCCUGAGAUGUACACUUAAAAUAGCUAAAGUGGUAAAUUUUAUUACAUAUAUUUCAGCACAGUAGAAAAGGAACCAUGCAUGAGAACCACAGUACCACGCACACACACACAAAUUGCCCGUGCAACCUUCCAACACAGAGGUGCAGGCAAUUGCUUCCUCGGUAGUACUCCUAAAACUGAGGAAACAAGGCCAAGAAUUAAUAAUGGGAUGGCGUCAAAUUUAAAAGCUUCUUCAUGAUAAAAAAAGAACAAACAAACAAGGGCAUGAAGUGAGAUUUUACAGAACGAGAGAAAUUUUUAUCAGCUACUCUUCAGAGGAUUAAAAUCCAAAAAAAUUUAAAGAACUCAAAAAAAAGAAAAGAAAAACUUAGCAUCUAAAGUAUAAAUAACCCAAUUUGUAAAUGGGUAAAUGAAAUAAAUACAAAUUUUCAAAGGAAAAAUGUUAAAUGGCCAACAAAUAUAUAAAAAAUGUUGAGCAUCUUUAGCAAUUACAGAAGUGCAAAUCAAAACCUCACUAAUAUUUCUUCUCAUGCCAGUUAGAAUAUCAACCAUCAAGAAUACAAGCAUUAAUAAAUACUGAUGAGGAUGUGGGGGAAAAGGAAUAUUGAUACCCUGUUGGGAGGAUUAUAAAUUAGUACAACUCUAUGGAAAUCAGUAUGGUGGUUCCUCAAAAGACAGGGAAUGACCCUGCUGUAGGAUUCAACUAUAGUACUCCUUGGUGUUCUUCCAAAAGAACUGAAGUCAUCCUACAGUAAUACAUACAUUCUCAGGUUUAUAGCAGCACAAUUCACGAUGGCCAAGUUAUGAAACCAGCCUAGGUGUCCAUCAACAGAUGAAUGGAUAAACAAGAUGUGAUAUGUAUUCAAAACUGAAUUUUAUUCAGCCAUAAGGAAGAACAACAUUAUGUCAUAUGUAGAAAAAUGGAUAGAACUGGAGAGCAUGGACUCAGAAAGUCAAGGAUAGUAUGUUCUCUCUUAUAUGAGGAAGCUAGAGAGAAAGGAAAAAAAAGGGGGCAAGGGGUUUUCAUGAAAAUAGAAAGAAGACCAGCAGAGUAAAGGAAGGGGAUUGGGGCAGGGAGGAGGGAAAGAAAAGGGGAGGUACAGGGAGUGAAAUGGAUCAAAUUAUAUGGAUGUAUAAACACGUCAUAGUGAAUCCCACUAUUAUGCACAAUUAUAAUGCACCAAUGAAAAUGUUUUAAAAAGAACCCAUGAAUAAAGUUUCUUUUAGUUUUUUUUUCACCAUUAUGUGCCUAGCACUUUGUACAGUGCCGGGCACAGGAAGCAAGGACCUAGUGUACUUUUUCUUACUGAGUGAGCCCACACUCAGUCCAGCUCUGAGUCUAGAGCCAGCUGUGUAAGUGAUUUUCAAAGAGUGUUACACAUGGAUCUUGCAGACAAUUUCAAGUGGAGUUUGGGAUCUUCUUACCUGACAACACCACCACCCUUACUGUGUAUAUAGCACUGUAUCUCAUAGACAGAAAGUUUUUAUUUACUUUUUAAUUAGUAUUACUCUUUAAAAUUGCUACAGAGACUCUGUUGCUGUGUCUUCCACACUUUUCCAAAGCUUGUUAAUCUCUCUGUUUUGUUCCCUCCUUUUUCUCUCCUUUCUUUCCUUAAUUUUUUUUUGUUGUUGUUUGUUUCUUUGUUUUUGUAACAUUAAAACAAAGCCUCAGGCUCAUGCUCAGAUUUUCCCAUCCUCCAAAGGUAAAAACACUUGGAUUGCAAUCUUGCAAUCAUAUAAAUUGUAAUACUAUUUUGAAGGAUUUUUGUUUUUUUGUUUUGUUUUGUUUUGUGUAAAAGUGAUCCUGAUUCUUCAUGGGUGGCUCUAGUAAAACAUUUACAUGAAAUAUUUUACAUGAUUUGAUUUUUAAAAGUGUAAGCAAUAAUAAUACAGAUGGACAAUAGAUAUUGCAAAGGACAGGAAGGCAUUACCAGAAUGAAAAGUGAAUUAAAGCUGCCCUAACUCUAGGACCUCCCCAUAUUCCCAGGCUUGAGUCUACCUUUCUUUGUGUCUGUAGCAGUGCCCUUAAGAUCUAUCUCAGCACCUGCCCACCUUGCUUUCUGGCCCAGACUCUCUGCAGUCCCCUUGAGGUACAUCUCACACUGGGCACUUACAUAGCUUUGACAUACCUGGCUGAUAUUGGGAGAAAAGAACUGAGAGAGUCUGAGAGUGGCCCUCAACAUGGUAUCAUUGCUGUUUUUCUUUGUUCCAGUGAGAUCCCUGAAGAAAAAUAGUUAUUGCUGCUUUUCAUAUUCACUGUCUCCUACUUUUCUCCCCCAAACUGCUAAGUUUUCCACCAACUUACUUUAAUUUUCAGUGUCGAUUUCAAAUGAAUCCAAACAGUAUUUAAAAAAAUAUGAAGGACAAUUUGUAUCAUGGGGGAGUGUUGCCUUAAACUGUAGUGCAGUUAAUGAUUUUAUCUCAUCCACCUACCCCAAUACACAUGUGCAGAUGCACACAUGCACAGACAUGAACACACACACACACACACACACACAGGCACACAUAUUGUCCCUCUUAUAUUUUGGAAUUUAGCGCAAAUUAUAGUUUAUAUUUGUUUCUCUUUUUUUAAUGUGGCGCUAAGGAUUGAACCCAGUGCCUUACACAUGCUAGGCAAGUGCUCUGCUAUUGAGGUACAGCCCCAGCCCCUAAAUUACAGGUUAUAGAUACUAGACGAAAAUGAGUAGGCAGUUGGUUAGCUGAGUUCUCCAUUGGAAAGAAGAUUCAGACAUCCUCAUGGCAGUGUGAACCCAGAAACCACGUGGAGUGUGUAUGUGUGUAUGCGCAGGUACCAUAUUCCUACUAAAAACACGUUAACAUGUUUUUUCCUUCCUUAUUUUUCCAUGAACUCUUAGCUCCAGAGCAGCUCCCUAACUUCCUAACUGAAUUGCUAGGGAAUGAGAAGACUUUGGAAAGUGCAAACUUUAUUUCUACUUCCGUGUCAUAUUUGAUCUAAAGCCCUGUGAUAAAAUAAUUUUUAAAAGUAUAAAGUGCACAGAGGGCAGGAUGGAAUGUGUGCAGACAUGUAAAGAAGGGUCAGACAUACAACAAAACUCUUAAGCCUGACUUUUUUCCUCAAAAGCUCAUUACUAUUGAAAAAGAGAGGGAGAGAGAAUAAGUAAUGUGCAGGGCCACUCUGAAUUAAUCUCCAAGGAGAAAGCAUUCAAGCUUCACUGCAGACAGCUCCUUGCAUCAGGCUUUCCGCUUCACAGGAAUCAAAACCAUCAGCAAAGCUCUGGAGGGAGCAGGUACCUUCUUCUCUAGCAAAAGAGCUGUGAUGAGUGAUGAGAGAGUGGUCCAGGUUUCCAGGGUCUUUUCCUGCAACUUAUCAAUACACAUUAUUUUAUUGGCCAGCAUUCUCCUUGCUCUUUGUCUCUGACUCCACUUUAUUGAGUAGAGUAGAAAAAAAUACAUUUUUUUCUUGCUAUGCUAUUUCCCAAAUCUCGGCAUUACCACACUAUACCUGACUUCCAGUCCACUAAGACCAGCAUUCUCUUUCUGUCAGAAAUUAUAAAUGGAAUGACAUAUUUGUCACUCUUGCAAUGUUAGAACUCUGUCCCACUGUUGUCUGAUGUCUCUCAACCUUCAUGGUUCAGUGGCUCACUUAUGCAUGACUUAAAACAAUCUUCAAUCAGUUUGUAUUUUCAACCUGCUUCAUAUCUUACAUCAGUAUCCCUAAGGGUAAGAUGCCCUUCUUUUCUUACCAGUUGCCUUAGUCCUUUGGUUCUAAAUACCAUAUCCAAUGAGGAGGCAAAGAAGAGGACUUUAAACUCAGAGCCAAGCAUCUCAGAUCUCUGCUAAUUACUAGGCCCCCAACCUCUGAGUAAUAUUGAAGGAAUAUCCAAAAUCUUUGAAUCUAUUUUUUUUUUCAUUUGAUGAAAUGAAACAAUAAAUACUGACUUUCCAAUGUUGUUGCUAUUGUUCCCAGUUUAAAGGCAAAGAAUGGAAAUUGGUAUUAUUAGUUAAUACUCUUAGUUCACAUUCUAUCCAAAAUUGUUUUUUUGAAAAAUAAUCUAGCCAUAUUUAUAGAAUCUUUAUGAAAUGCAUGUAUCCACAUGGCAUGAUUGAAAAACUCUGUGACAUUAAAAAUAGAAAGUGAGAAUUUGUCCCCCAUUGCUGCUUAUCCUUAUCUAUUCCUUGAAAACUACUAUUUUAAUAAUUACUGGAUUUUGUUUUUACUAAUUUGUUAAGUAUAGCAUUUUAGUCUUUAUUUUAUAGAUCUUAGGCAAUAUUCUUAAAUUUUUAUAUCUUCUUUUAUUACUAAGACAUUUUUGUCUUUAUUUUCUCGAUUUUUCCUUUUUAUUUUCUCAGAAUAGUUCUAACUAUUUAUUCAUCCCAAACUUCUCCCAAAAGAGAAAAUGAGUAAAAGUAAAAGAAGAACCUUCCUCCAUUCUCCUCCUACAAUCCAGACUCUACUGGAUCAUUGUACCUGCCCAGAGAGAGUGCUGACCUGAGUACAAAGGUCACCCUGCACACUCCUGGAGGGGCCUCCAUAGAAACACUGGGUCCCUGUGUGGCAGCUGUUUAGAGGUUUACUUAUUUUUUCCAUCGCAAAAGAACAUCUGGAAAAUUGUUCUGAAUUCCCUUCCUAAUCAAUAUUUUGCCAGGAUCAAGGAACAUAGUUUGGUGUCCUUCUCUGUUUAAUAGUCUUUCAGCUGCAAUGGGAGUUGGUUUGACAAUAACAUAUCUUUCCCUUUUUUCCCAGCCUUUGCCUUCAGUUUUAAUAGCAGCCUGACUGGACUUGGAUUCUUGCAACUGUCAAGAUGAAUGAAAUGGAGUAUGAAUUCCAUUGCUUUGUUCUGCCGCAUCUCGGGCUUGUUUUCUAAACUAAUUAUCCACAGGGUGUAGCACUUUGUUUUGUUUCUCUGUGGCUGAGGAUGAAGCCUCACUAUAAAUCAAUGCCCUAUUCUUAUCUAGAAUUACAUAGUCAGAGAGCUCUGAAGAUGAUUGGAGAUGUUUGGAGGAAAGAUAGAUUUCUUACAAGGAAGAGUGAAAAGGACUUCUUAGCUUGUGCUUGAAAACAUUCAGGAGAAAUAGUGUAAGGAAUAUAAAUUAAGAACCCAUAUGUAGAAAGCUAAUAGCCUAUCUCUGUUUGCUGAAGAGUAAUAAAUAUUUUUAAUACAUUUAAUUUUGACUAAAGCAAAGCCUUUUGUUGGGUGAAGCAUUUACUCUACAAGAGUUACUCUCCAUAUGAUUAGUUACAAAACUUUUCUUCAUCAGAAUCAAUAAUAUGUAAGACUAGAAUAGAAAUUAAUGGGCACAUUAGCCCUUCCAAUGGGUCAUAAGUCUAAUAAGGCCUCAAACUAAAUCCUGCUCUGUUAUACAUUGAUGAUCUUCCAUAAGUUACCAAAUUGCUCUGAAUUUUAGUUUUCUUACCAUAAGUUAGUGAAACAAAUAUACCUCCAGGUAAUAGUUACCUUUUUGUUCUUCUUCUGUCUCCUUCCUCUAUCAGUUCUGAGCUAAGAAAUGAUGGGACCCCAUUUCCUGAGCCUUAGGUUUGGUUAAGUGACCCAGGAUAAGCCAACCAGAGAACUCUAAACCUCUGGCUGUGAUUAUUGAUACACAGAUGGAUAUGUGACCCAAGGAAGUUUCCCCAAUGCUCUUGCCUGGGCCUUCCCUGCAGAAUCAAGCAUAGGAGAAGCAGUACUUGAUUCACCUGCUUUUUGCCACUGUUUGCCCACCAUUCUUGUCACUGAGAGGAAACACUUCUAUGGAACAGGGCACAGGAGACCAAGGCACAAAGAGUCAGCAGGAGGAGAACAAGCAAGUAAUGGAUUCAAUAAUGACUAAUCUAUAAUUUCUCUAGAAUGUUUUUCCUGUUAGAAACCUUCAAUUAUUAUUACUGAUUUUAAUGUUAAUAUUUAUAUCUUCAACCCUUUUCAUUAUUACUUAAAUGCAUAACUUUAAUGUUAGUAUUUUAUUUUUUAUUUUGCUUUUUGUAACUUGAGUUGUUAGACUUUGUUUAUAUUUUAAGAGCUCUGAUUAAAGAUUACUCUACAGAGUUGUAGAGGGUGUUAAAUAAGGUAAUAAGUGGAAGGAAUUUAGCAGAAAAUACCACCCAAAUGAAGCACUUGUUUCACUAUUACUUCCAAUAUUAUUUUACUGAGGCUCAGAGAACUUAAGUAAUGUGCCCAAGAUUAAAUAGCUCCAAUAACACAGCAAACCAAGUUUUAAACUGAGAUCUUUUUGACUCUAAGGUUUAUGUUUGGGACACUGCAGUAAGAUGUUACAUUUAUUUUUGUGUCAUUUAGAAGCAUGUUGUGGAGCAUAUGGCUGUGUUUCCUUGUUUCUUUCCCCAUUAUCUUGUCAUAUUUCUUGACUGUUCUUAGGAAGUAUAGUGCUAGUGUGGCCUUGCUGGAGUGGAAUGGAUUUCCUGACCUCUGAAGAGUAGCCUGUUUUUCUUAGUUGAUAAAGAAAAAAAAAAAAAGCUAAGUCCAGAGAGAUCUCUGGUGAGUAGGUGAAACUCCAGAGGUUUACAUUAAAGGGUCUUCAUCGUGGUUCUUCAUCAUGUAAAAGCUGCCUCCAAUCCCAAGCCCUGAGUCUUUCACCACACCCUGGCAAAGGUUCAUCUCACACCAGCCUUUUUCAAUGCAAACUGCCAGCCCAGCCAAGCAGCCAUUUAAUGGACCUCAGGGCUGGCUUCCUAAGAGAGUUCUAUCAGGGACAGUUUACUGCAUGUAUGUUUUAGACAGUUUCAUGGCCUGCAAAGGUCCUUGAUAAAAGACAUACCCUCCUGCUUUUCAAUCCAGAAAGAAACAUUGAUUUUUGUUUUUUAUCCUCAACAGUAUUCCUUUCUCCCCAUACCUCCCCAUCCUCCCUGCUCAACUUUCUAUUGGAGAAAAAAGAAGUAGGGAUAUAGUCUGUUCCCUUAUGAAUGAAAGUCAGAUUUUAGUACCAAGACUGAAACACGUGUGCAAGAGACUCUGAAGUACAGGAGGAGUGUGCCUGUAAGUAAACAUGAGGAGUGUUGCAGUGUGUGUAUGUGUGUGUGUGUGUGUAGUGUGGUGUGCAUGUGCACGCACAUGCAUGCUCACAAACCUCAGGGUACUUAAUUCACAUGCUUCAAAGUCCAAAAGUGAAUAAUUCCCACUUGAUGCUCAUACCUGUCUAAUAUGGUGGACAGAGUUUAGAGUGGCUCCCUAAACCCUGCAUCCUCGGCCUCAGACCUUGUAUAAUCCCCUUUACUUGACUGAGGACAGUACAUUUUCUUUCUUCUAGAACAGAAGGUAGCCAAGGUGAUGUGACAUGGUAUCAGAGUCCUCUGCUGGCUGACUUGCUCUUGCUCUCCUGUUCCCUAGAAGCAAGCUUCUGUGCUGGGACUUUCCAGAGGGCUACCUGGGAAGGAACUUUGGGCUGCCUCUGGGAGUUGAGGACAGUCUUCAGUUGACAGCAAGAAAUCAAAGCUCUUGGUUCUAUAGUUCUGUAGCCACAAAGAAAUGACAACCUGAGGGACUUUGCAGGCAAGUUCUUUUCCCGUCAAGCCUCUGUAGGAGGCUCACCCGGCCAGUUCCUUGGCUGGAGUCUAGUGAGACCCUGAACCAGAGGACGUAGUUCAACAGGAUCUGAACUCUUUAUCCAUGGAAUCUGGGAUAUCUAAACCUGCGUUUAGCAAAUUUAGCCAAUAAAUUUGCAGUCAUUAUGCAGCAACACACAACUCAACAGAUAUCAAAUUAUGAAUGGAUUGUUUCAAUCUGCAUAAUUAGUAUAAAAGAAGGAGUUUGCUGUCAAAUCUUUCUGGUUCUCAAUGUUGACUACAGCUCUUAUUUUUAUGUGUAUUUUGGGGAAAUUUAUUUAAGGUCUGAGUUUAGCUUAAAAUUUUUAAGCUGUAAAAAGUAAACAAGCAAACAAAUAGUAAACAACAACAAAAAAUACAUAGCCUUAGUACUGAGCUCACAGGAUGGUUAUAACUUUAAGGGAGUUAAUUCACACAGUGAGCUCUCCAGAAAUGUUGCCUGGAUUUAACGUCCUGGAUAACCUCUGGCCCAGUUAACCUCUUUUUCCCAUAGUAUUUUAUUGAAUCACCUUUAUUUCACCUCAGGACUAGAUUGUGAGUUCAAAACGAAAAAAAAGAACCUUGUUUUCUUCAUCUUGAAAUCUCCAGCAAAAACAUCCAGUGCAGCUAGCAAGUAGACAUAAUCAAUAAUUGUCAGAUAUGCAGAUUCCUGGGUCCACACUAGAGGUUCUGAGCACAACAAUAUGGUAUUUGUUGGAACUUCACAAAGUGAUGAAUCAUGUUCGUGUUUACUCCUUUAACCCCAAGGAUAAUUGAUGUGCCAAGGAUUAAAAACUAAGAUGGAUAAAGAUUCUUUUUUUUUUAAUUAAAAGCAGAGAUUCUCGCAAAUAUACUUUACUAAAUUGCUGACAACUAGACAGUGCAUUGAUGGCUCCUGGACAUCAAUGUUGUCUGAUAAAUAGAAAAUUCUAGGCACUUACCUUAAAAACAUCUAGGUUGAAAGAUCUAGAAGAGGCCUAAGAUAUCAUGAGCCUCAAUCAGGGAAGCUUUACAAAUGUCCAUUUUGCCUGAAAUGUGAAUUGUGACGGGGUCACACUGGGAGGACUGAGAGAUCACAAUGUGACCCCCUAGUCUUCCUAUCCCGGCAUAUAUACCAGGCUUCAAUGAGACUUCACCACGUCCUUCAUUAAGAGUCUAUUUACUCCACUUUGAAACUGUGCUGGCUUAUGACUUGUACUGACCAGCAGACGUUGGCCAGAGUGGUAUGAGGAGACUUCCAAAGCUGAGUCACAGAUGGCUUUGGGCUUCUACCUUCACACUCUUGGGCACAGUGUAAUGACCAGCACACAAGCCAGGCCAGCCUUUCAGAGAGUGAGAGGCGACGUGGGAACUGAGACGACCAGAUAACAACCCACAGUAACUGUGAGACCCCUAGAUGGCCCAACACCCCUGCCCUGCUCAUGCAGCCUCAUGAACAAGACCAAGGAAAGCUUAUCCAAGAAUCGCACAAUCAUCCACCCCCAGGAUCAUGAAUAAGAACUGAUCACUACUGUGUGCAGGGCAGCUCUGGGUUGUUAUCAAGGCAGUGUAGCUGGCAUCUAGGACACAUGCAACAGGGCUGUGCUAUCCAAAGUGAAAACCUAGUCAUUUAUCCACGUUGCCAUUUUGUAGCCAAAGCAAUCUAGUUUCUAGUCCUGUAUCUAAUUACCAUAUUAUAUGGCAUACAAAUUUGUACUUGAAAAUAUUCAGGAGAAAUAUGCUAUACCUCCUUUUUAAAUUUAAUUACUGUACUUCUCUUCUCUUAAGUGACUUGGUAUCAUCUGCAUCAGAUUAAAUUUGAACACCUCAGAGAGCCCAUGUGGCUUUCACUUUGAGUUCUGGGCCCUUCCAUCUCUCCAGGGUAUCUUUUCUCAUUGUGUUCCACUGACCACAGCUCCAACCCCAACCCCAACAUACUCUUCACUUCUACUCCAGAUAUGCCUGCUGUUUCUGUUUUAUCUAGAGCACCCUCUAUAUCAUCUCCUUCCCUGCCCAGUGCCUACCCAUCCUCCAAAGCUCUGUAGGAUCGCCUCCUGCAGGAAGUCCUCUGUGUCUCCUUCAGCCUCAGGAUGCCUCUCCAAGCUCCCCUGUAUUACAUGUGACAUAAAGUAAUUCCUCACUAAAAUUGUGUAAAAUUCAUGAAUAUUUUAAAUGUAUCCUUGGUGUUCAGUAGAGUACUUUAUAUACUCCAGGUAACUAUAGAAGGAUUAUUUUUUCUUUUCUAAAAAUUAAGAUACAAUUUUUUUCUUUUUUUAUCUAUAUAUGACAAUGGAAUGCAUUACAAUUCUUAUUACAUAUAUAGAGCACAGUUUUUCAUAUCUCUGGUUGUAUACAUAGUAUAUUCACACCAAUUCAUGUCUUCAUACCUGUACCUUGGAUAAUGAUGAUCAUCACAUUCCACCAUCAUUAAUAACCCCAUGCCCCCUUCUUUCCCCUCCAACCCCUCUGCCCUGUCUAGAGUUUGUCUAUUCCUCCCAUGCUCCCUCUCCCUAUCCCACUAUGAAUCAGCCUUCUUAUAUCAAAGGAAACAUUCGGCAUUUGGUUUUCCAGGAUUGGCUAACUUCACUUAGCAUUAUCUUCUCUAACUCCAUCCAUUUACCUGCAAAUGCCAUGAUUUUAUUCUCUUUUAUUGCUGAGUAAUAUCCCAUUGUGUAUAUACGCCACAUUUUUUUUUAAUCCAUUCAUCUAUUGAAGGGCAUCUAGGUUGGUUCCAUAGUUUAGCUAUUGUGAAUUGUGCUGCUAUAAACACUGAUGUGGCUGUGUCCCUGUAGUAUGCUGUUUUUAAGUCCUUUGGUAUAGACCAAGGAGAGGGAUAGCUGGGUCAAAUGAUGUUUCCAUUCCCAGUUUUCCAAGGAAUCUCCAUACUGCUUUCCGUGUUGGCUGCACCAAUUUGCAGUCCCACCAGCAAUGUAUGAGUGUGCCUUUUUUUAAAAAAAAUAGUUAAAAAAGAAAUAGAACUUAUUAUUGAGCCAUUGACUUUUGGGAUUAUUUGUCACACAACAAAAGCUAAAUGUAUGUGUAUGCUUCUCCCCAAACUCAUCAACACACACACACACACACACACACCACAAGUGUGUGCAUACACAUGGCAUUGUUUAUUGCUACCUAUUCAAUGACAGUAUGCUUUCCACACUGUAGACAUAUUUGGGUCAAGGGAAAAAGCAAGCAAAUGAACAAGCAAGAAAUGCAAACUAUGUACUUAUUUGCUGUGGCUAUUUACUUCUAGGUAAAAUAAAAUGGCACAGUGCCAUCCUCAGGGUGAAAUGCAGAGGGUAUGGAACACAGGGCAGGCUCCCCUGGUGUCUCCUUUGCUUCUCUAUAUGCCCAUGUUUCCUAGGCUGCUGCUUUACUCUUGCUUUUUUAUCGCAUUAUUAACUUAUAACUCCCAGUUGCUGCAGUUUCUCUGUGUGUGUGUGUGUGUGUGUGUGUGCAUGUGUUUGUCUGAGUUUCUGUGUGUGUGGCUUUUGUUUGUUUUUCAUCCAAAUCUCUUCCCAGGAAGAAAUGAAAAUGUCACUCAAACUCUAGUGAGAGUGUCAGUCAAUGUCAAAGACACAUUGUUCACUUCGUCUUUCCCUCAUUGCUUCAUUUUGUGAACCAGUCUCUUAAAUGCAAUGUGAUAAAGAAGGGGUCAGUCAAAGGGCUCUGCUGCCCAAUCAGGUCAAUCAAAGGCUUCUUUGAAGAGAUAAGUUUAGAUGCCACCAGAGGCAGGACCUCCCUCCUGAGAUCCUGAUCGUGAGUAAUCAUGUGAACUUGUAAGUCUCGCUUCUUCCUAACAGGAGAGAAUCUGCCACAAAAUUAAGGUAUCCCAUAGGAAAGUCGGUGACGGGGAUAAUGCGUUGUGUUUCUGCAUUUGUUAAAGAUGUGACUUGAAACCUUGGAUUCAGUCAUUUCAUGUGUGUGUGAUAUAAUAUAUACAUAUAUUUUGAUAAUAUGAUCAAAUUAUUUUUUUCCUUUCAACAAGCUCAAAAUUUUUUCUCUCCAAGUAAAAAGACCUGCAGUUAAUAUAUAGACACAAAAUUUUCUGGUGUCUUUGUACUGUAUUUAAACCCUUGUCUCUAAUAAUGGGAUGGAAAUGCUAUUUUUCUAUUAAAGGCAUUUCAGCCUUCAAAAUAUCAAAGAUGUUUACAUGGGAGUACAGCAAAAAUUACAUGCAUAAAGUAUGUGAAUGCUUCUUAUAUGUGUGUGUUCCAGCACAGUCCUUUAUGUGCAUUCUUUUAACCUAAGAUUAUUAAGUAUAAGGUGCAAAAUUUAAUGUGUAUGCAUGUGUGUGUGUGUGUGUGUGUACAUAUGUGUUCUGAACAGAUGGAACAAUAGGCUCUAGGAGCUGUCUAAAUCUUUCUUUGAUUCCACAAAGGUAUUGCUGUGUGACAUUAGGCAAAUCACUUGUCUCUUCUGAAUACCUAAUCUUCCCCAUUGCUAAAAUAAAGCUGUUCAUGGUCAUUUGCAGUGCUAUAAAGACAGUCAUUGGGAAACUUCUACCAAGUCAAUAGUAAAUAAUUUCAAAGAAGUUAAAAAGGAACUAACUCUCUAGAAUAUUUACUCAAUAAGCACUGACUAGUGCAAAAAUCAUGAUUAAUCUGGAGAAUGCACACUUGGGCCCAGAAGUAGGACCUGAAGUUCUGCAAGGAAGUGAAUUGAACAAUUCCAGACUCACCGAAGGGCAAGGCUGAGUGUGCAUCUCCAUAUGGAAAUGUAACUGUGGACUUACAGCUGCUGCUGCAUAAAGCCUUUGGAUGCUAAUAGUCUUUGUGGUUUUCUCCCUUUUAUUUCCUUCCUUCCUGUAGGUUGCAGCUUCUAUCCCACCUCCCCCCUAAUGAGCCUGUGGGAGGGUGGAAAGCAGGACUCAGAAUGUUGGCCAUCAAGUGGGAGAGGAACUGUGGAAAGAGGGAAGUGAACUGGAGGAAGCUGACCAAGAUUUUUCUUGAGACAAAAAAUAAAGGCUACCAAGUUGGUGAGAAGGAGAAAGAGCUAUACAUCACCUGAUUAGAACAGGUAAGAGGGUCCUGACCCCGUCUUAGGUAGGCUCCCAAAGAAAAAUGUCUGUUUUUGACAUUUGGGAGAUAAUCUGUGGACAAGGAAGGAGGAAUGCUCUCCCUAAUGUGGGUGGUUCUCAUGUAAUCAGUUGAAGGCCUAACUAGAACCAAAGUUUGACCCUCCUGUGAGUGCGAGGGAACUUCUCCCACAUGACUGCAUUGAGGUGGGUUAUGUAGUUUUUAAUUUUUUUUUAAAUUUUAUUCAUGUAUAUUAAUUGUGUAUAUUAAUGGGUUUUGGUGUGAUGUUUCAAUACAUGUAUAUGAUGUGAAUUGAUUAAAUCCAGCCAUUCUUUAUCCAUUUUCCCUCUCCUUUUCAAUCCCUAGUAAUUCCUACCCUACUUUCAGGUCAACUUUUUUAACUUCCACAUAUAACAGAGAACAUGCAUUGCUUGUCUGUCUGUGUCUAGUUUAAUUCAUUUAAGAUAAUAUGCUGCAGUUCCAUCCAUUACACUGCAAAGGACAAGAUAUACUUUUUUAUGACUGAGUAAUAUUCCAUUGUGUGUAUACACCACUUUUUCUUUAUCAUUCACCUUUGACGGGCACCUAGGUUGAUUCCCUAUCUUGGUCAGUGAAUAUUGUCGUGAUAAAUAUGGGUAUGCAGUUAUCUCUUUGUUAUGCUGAUUUCAUAACCUGUGAAUAUGUACCCAGAAGUGAAAUAGCUGGGUCAUAUGGGAGAUCUGUUGCACUUCAUACUCUUCUCUACACCAGUAGAGUAUAGGGCUCCCUUUCCUCCACAUACUCACCAAUAUCCGUUAUUGCCUUUUUGAUAACAGUCAUUUUGACAGGGGUGAGAUGAUACUUCAUUAUAGUCUUCAUUUUCAUUUUCAUGAUGCUAUUGAGGGCUUUUUAAAAUAAAUAAAUAUAGAUUUAUUAUCCAUUUGUGUUUCUUCUCUGAGAAGUGUCUAUUCAGAUCAUUUGCACACUUUUAAUUGGAUUGCUUGUUGUUUGAUUGGUGAGUUUUUGAAUGCCUCACAUAUUCUACAUGUGAAUUCUUUGUCAGAUGAAUAGUUGUCAAAUAUAUUCUCCCAUCCUAUAAUUUAUUUCUUCACUUCAUUUCAAUAGGGUUUUGUUUUGUUGUGUUUGUUUUUCCUACCUUCAGACUCAAAUUAAAAUAUGAGCUUUUCCUGAAUUUCAAAUCUGCUCUCCUUGCCUGGAACAAGAGCAUCAGCUCUCUGGGGUCUUCACCUUGCCAAUUGCAGGAUCUGACUCUUGUCAGACUCCAUCACCAUGUGACCCAAUCACUUCAUAUGUUGCUUACUGCAUUGGUUCCGUUUCCCUGAACCUGACUAAGGAAGACAUAAAAGACCAUCACAACAGCUGCUUCUCCCUUACUUUCCUCUAAUAUAAAGGAAGAAACUUUAAACUCAUUUAACUUCCAAGGCUUCCUUAUAGUUAGUGGAACCUGAAUGACUCAUUUUUGACCAAUGUGCUGACCAAGUGGAAGGCUUUAGGCAGGACUUCCAAAGAAGUGUUUUAAAAUAAAGGAACUAUGCUGAUGAAAUGCUCUGGCUCUGGCAUGGAAGUCAGCACCCCCAAUGUGACUGUGGGCAUGACAGACACCCACUAAAAAGGGCUGCGUUUGAACAUGGGUGAUGUUUGGCGGUUGGGGGCAUAGAUGAGUUGCCAUAUAAUCCUAUAAUUAACUUCCUUGAGGUUUGUCUUUCCUUGAGGAGAAAUAAAUUAAGUCUUCUUUACAUUUAUUUUGUAUUUUUGAAGCCAAAUUUAUAGUUGACCUAUGUAUGGCAAAAUUUUGAAAAUUUAUACAAUGUAUUUAUCUGGCAGUUGGGGCUUAAUUAAAUUUAAAAUGCUAUAAAGAUUAUCAUCUUCAAAAUUUAUGUUUUCUUCUAAACAUGAAUAGAGAAGCAACUCUAAAUAGAUCUAAAGUCCUUGAUGUGAUGCCUACUAAUGAGAAUCUACAGCUGCUAUAUACAGAUGUUCUUUGUUGUAGAUUUCACUCUCAGUUGGGGCCAAAGUCAUUUUUCAUUCCCAAGCAAUGGGCCUUGAUGUCCUGGGCCUCCAAACGUGGUCCAUCUUUUUUGACAGACAGUGACUCUAGGUCUUUCUGGGUAAGAGGCUGAUCCAAGAGAUCCAGGGUUCAGGUAAAAGACUGGUAUCAGUGACUAUCCAAGGGAUUCCAGGGGAAAGACGAUUGUCUAGACAGCUUGCAGAGAACUUUAUGAGGGGUUGAAUGGAAAGGUGGCCUGCUGAUUUAUAGCAAGGAAUUGAAACUAAAAAUCCAUUAAAAAAAAGUGGUUAUUGUGGUGCUUGAGUCAAACACAAACCACUGAAAUCAUAUUUGAUUAAUAAUUCAAAAAGCAGGUAAUUAGAAGCCUCACUGGUAGUUUAAAAAUGUAGGGUAAGUUUAUAUUUUAAAAAAGGGGGGGUGGGGUGGGCUAGAGAUAUAGCUCAGUUGGUAGAGUGCUUGCCUAGCAUGCACAAGGCCCUGGGUUCAAUCCACAGCACCACAAAAAAAGAAAAGAAAAAACAAAAAGGAAUAGAGAAAUUAGAUAAGGAAUGAAGAGAUUAGGAACUACCCAAUAAUAUCACUUAUAAUGAAUUAAAUUAAUUUAAACCCUUUUUCCCCUUUCCUACUUCCUACUCUACUAAAGUACCAAACCCUGCAAGAGAGGUCACUCUUUCCCAAGUCAAGUUUAAGUCAAACUUCUCCCAUGGCCCAACAAGUUUAGUGAAAAGAUGGACUAUGGAAAUCCAAUUUUACAGAGGCUCCGAGGAACCAAAUCAGCUUCCUUUUGAGAGGACUGAGCUUCCUGACCAGCAAAUUCAACAAGCCUGCACACCAAGCCAGGGACCAACAAAGAAGGAGAUCUGAGUGCUGUGAAAGGCUAGAGCGUAGGAAGUUCAUGGAGUUACUGCAGUUCAUAUGAGCUGCAGUAAACAUCCGUGUACAUGCUUCCUUAGCAAGUGACUAACAUUUUCUCUAGUGUACCUGCCAAGAAGUAGAAUUGCUGAAUUAUACAGUAAAUGUGUUUAAAAUCUAAAUUAUCCCUGUUGGACCACCCCCACUACGGCCAAGCUAUACCCCAAGAGCUGGUAGAGUUCCAUCUGUUUCUACUCAUUCUUGCCAAGAGCUGGUCCUACAAGGCUGUGUACUUUUUGCCAAUAAAUGCCUUAAAAUCUUUUAAGGGUCACUGAAUCCAGACAGGCAGAGAUUUGUCUACAUGAAAGACUGAGCAUGGUAGACUAUUAUUACAGGGCAAUACACUGCUGUGGUGCUGAGGCAGCUGAAGAGGCCUCUUCAAACCCUGAUCAUAUGAUCAUGCCACAGAGAUGUCAGUCAUGUCAAUCAGAGUAACAGACAUGAGUUUAUUAGAAGGGAUAGGAAAGAGGGAAAGGCGACAUUCAAGGGAGAGAGUGGGUCUUCUCAUAGGGGAGAGGGACAGUGCAGCCCUCCUGCCCUCCAGUUUUAUUAGGAGUCUCAGGGAUGUUUCCAAAGAGCCCUGCCCAGGUCAUCUUUUGGCUUUUGACUGAUAGCAUGGGAACUGCAAUGUCUACCUCGGAGAGGAGGGUGUGGUGCUCACAGAGCUGACAUUUAGGAAACUGAGUUCCCUGUUUGUGCCUCCUCCUCAACAAAGUUUUCUUGGGAGGGUCUCGAUGAUUUGAUUGCCAGGGUCGGUGAUUAUGGUUUGUGAUGGGUGUUGGUAAGGGAGGAUCUGGGUCACCUAGUAAGGUGUAAAAUGAUCUUAAAACAACAGUUUUUUUUUUUUUUAAAGGGGGUGUAAUUAUGACCAGGGGAGGUUCUAACAGUCUAGCUUCUCAUCUCCCAGGUGCUUAUCUUUCAGAUGGGGCUCCUGUGCUUUUUAGCCCAGCCUCCUUGUCCUUGUCCUGCUCACACAUCCCUGGCUGACCAACCACUUCACAAGAUGAGAGGAAGAAGGCAGUGAGAGGAGCUACCAUCCUCAGACUCGCAUUGCCUGAGGGAGGGAAGGACAAAUACUAACUCUCCCACAGUCACGGAGUCGACCAAAGCACAUUGUAUGAUGGUCCAUUUCCAUCUUGGUUUGAUCUGUUCCUAGAGAAGGUAUUUAUCUACCUCUUGAUCCAUCCAUUUCUCCUGAAGUGUGCCUGUAAAUGCUCACUCUCCUAGGGGCUGUAAGGAAAGAAAGAGGAAGCAGGAAACGUCUAAUUUCAAGAAGUUCCUUAGUCACGGAGAUUAUAGCUCAGCAGUCCUCAAACUUAAAGAUGCAUUUUUUUUUGUUUGAUCAGCAAAAUGUUUCAAGUUUUUAAAAAU
This 19398-nucleotide long non-coding RNA is filed under the name Marmota monax (woodchuck). Lineage: Eukaryota; Metazoa; Chordata; Mammalia; Rodentia; Sciuridae. The record is from RNAcentral.